AUGCUUGCAUUCACCGUAAGAAGUUGAGUGGCGGACGGGUGAGUAACACGUGGGUAACCUGCCUAAAAGAAGGGGAUAACACUUGGAAACAGGUGCUAAUACCGUAUAUCUCUAACGAUCGCAUGAUCCUUAGAUGAAAGAUGGUUCUGCUAUCGCUUUUAGAUGGACCCGCGGCGUAUUAACUAGUUGGUGGGGUAACGGCCUACCAAGGUGAUGAUACGUAGCCGAACUGAGAGGUUGAUCGGCCACAUUGGGACUGAGACACGGCCCAAACUCCUACGGGAGGCAGCAGUAGGGAAUCUUCCACAAUGGACGCAAGUCUGAUGGAGCAAAGCCCGCGUGAAUGAAAAAAGGUCUUCGGAUCGGUAAAAAUCUUGUUGUUAAAGAAGAACACGAGUGAGAGUAACUGUUCAUUCGAUGACGGUAUCUAACCAGCAAGUCACGGCUAACUACGUGCCAGCAGCCGCGGUAAUACGUAGGUGGCAAGCGUUGUCCGGAUUUAUUGGGCGUAAAGGGAACGCAGGCGGUCUUUUUAAGUCUGAUGUGAAAGCCUUCGGCUUAACCGGAGUAGUGCAUUGGAAACUGGAAGACUUGAGUGCAGAAGAGGAGAGUGGAACUCCAUGUGUAGCGGUGAAAUGCGUAGAUAUAUGGAAGAACACCAGUGGCGAAAGCGGCUCUCUGGUCUGUAACUGACGCUGAGGUUCGAAAGCGUGGGUAGCAAACAGGAUUAGAUACCCUGGUAGUCCACGCCCGUAAACGAUGAAUGCUAGGUGUUGGAGGGUUUCCGCCCUUCAGUGCCGCAGCUAACGCAAUAAAGCAUUCCCGCCUGGGGGAGUACGAACCGCCAAGGUUGGAAACUCAAAAGGAAAUGAACGGGGGGCCCGCCACAAACAGGUGGGAGCAUGGUGGGUUUAAUUUCAAAAGCAACCCCGAAGAAACCUUAACCAAGGUCUUGGACAUUCCUUUUGACCAACCUAACAAAAAUUAAGGCUUUUCCCUUUCCGGGGAACGAAAAUGAACAGGGUGGGUGCCAUGGGCUUGUCCGUCAAGCUCGUGUCGUGAGAUGUUGGGUUAAGUCCCGCAACGAGCGCAACCCUUGUUGUCAGUUGCCAGCAUUAAGUUGGGCACUCUGGCGAGACUGCCGGUGACAAACCGGAGGAAGGUGGGGACGACGUCAAGUCAUCAUGCCCCUUAUGACCUGGGCUACACACGUGCUACAAUGGACGGUACAACGAGUUGCAAGACCGCGAGGUUUAGCUAAUCUCUUAAAGCCGUUCUCAGUUCGGAUUGUAGGCUGCAACUCGCCUACAUGAAGUCGGAAUCGCUAGUAAUCGCGAAUCAGCAUGUCGCGGUGAAUACGUUCCCGGGCCUUGUACACACCGCCCGUCACACCAUGAGAGUUUGUAACACCCAAAG
This 1416-nucleotide ribosomal RNA is filed under the name Ligilactobacillus salivarius. Its description in RNAcentral is "bacterial SSU rRNA". It matches the Rfam family "Bacterial small subunit ribosomal RNA", at positions 71 to 1426 of the family's 1533-position model. Lineage: Bacteria; Bacillati; Bacillota; Bacilli; Lactobacillales; Lactobacillaceae. The record is from RNAcentral.